UCAUAGCACACAUCUGACAUGUAGGAAGUGUUCAGUGUUUUACCAAUCAUACAUUGCUUUGUCCCCCAAUCAAAUAUCCACAUUGGAAAUGGACACAAAGACCCAGAGUAGGUCACAGGUUUGGCAUGACGCUAGGAGACUGCGUCUCACUGCAAGCACAGUGAAACGAGUCCCCAAACGACACACCACAGACCCCCAAAAGUUUCUCAAUGAGCAUGUGUACCCCACCUUCACCGGGAACACAGCCACGAAAUAUGGCUCUGACAAUGAAGUCAGGGUCAUCACACUCCUUGAGAGCAGAGGGCAUGAUGUGCACAACAAAGGACUUGUGGUGCAUCCUGACCACCCCUGGUUGGCAGCCAGUCCAGAUGGGAUCCUUGAUGGGACAAAACUUCUUGAGAUCAAGUGCCCCUUCAAGAGUCUGAUGUCUCUCGAAGAAUUCCUCACCCGGCCAAACGGUGACAUCAAAAUCUUGGAUGAUGGAAAGUACCUCGUUUUGCCAAAUGGAAGAGCUGGAUACUACCUUCAGACACAGGUGGCUAUGAUGUGCCUUGGUCUACAGAGAUGCACAUUGGUUAUCUGGACACAAAAGGAACAUUUAGAAUUGGAAAUUCCAUUUGACAAAGAUUACACUGACAAACAAGUAGAGCAACUGGAA
Molecule: long non-coding RNA, 658 nt
Organism: Gadus morhua (Atlantic cod)
Lineage: Eukaryota; Metazoa; Chordata; Actinopteri; Gadiformes; Gadidae
Exons: 2
Source: RefSeq, a predicted model, not a curated record